RNAcentral lists this non-coding RNA (98 nucleotides) under Pseudarthrobacter sp. RNAcentral's name for it is "Glycine riboswitch aptamer". It matches the Rfam family "Glycine riboswitch aptamer". From Rfam's summary of the family: This family represents the bacterial glycine riboswitch. Glycine riboswitches usually consist of two metabolite-binding aptamers domains with similar structures in tandem. Lineage: Bacteria; Bacillati; Actinomycetota; Actinomycetes; Micrococcales; Micrococcaceae. RNAcentral also lists the same sequence under 1 other name. The record is from Rfam by way of RNAcentral.
UGAUCUGCGGCGGGAGAGUUCUGCCGGAAGUACAGGCAGGCGCCGUAGGAGCAAAUCCUCCCCAGGAAUCUCGCAGGCCCCUGUACCGCCGCGGCGAG